Neodiprion virginianus is the source of this 2696-nucleotide long non-coding RNA. RefSeq lists it as uncharacterized. The transcript is spliced from 8 exons. The record is from RefSeq and is a predicted model, not a curated record. Lineage: Eukaryota; Metazoa; Arthropoda; Insecta; Hymenoptera; Diprionidae.
AUUCACAGCGGUGACAGAACGUUCCGGAACACACGACGAGCGUUGACAAGUUCACUCGGAUAGCAAAUCUGUUGUCGUAAUGGAGAAGAAAUAUUACGCAGUGGAUUAAAAUAUCUGUAUUUAUGAAGCGGAUCGACACGAUUGAUCAUUAUUUUCUAUUAUUCUGUCGUUGCUUACGACACAGAACAAACUGAAGGCGUCCCGGUGUUUAAACGCUACGAGAAUGAGGCUGAACUUAGUCACGUUAACGUAGAAGAAACGUUGAAACAAAACUUGUUUUUCUGCAGCUUCGGAAAACGACUGAAGGAGUUGAAUUUACAAAAUUGGUGAAAAGUUGUGAAGUUUGCAGCGAGUGAAAAUCGCCUAGCAACAACGGAGCAAAUUUGUGCAUUUCCUGCCUAGCAACAGUGGAAGAACCAGCAUCAUUGCAUCUCAGCAGCAACAUAAUGACGCGAACGAUCCACAUCGGCUACCAAGGUUCUGGAUGAAAUCCGAUUAGUCUCAGUCCUUACGCAACGAGCUGUCAUUCUCAGUACUUCCAUCUACUUUGCCCGUUAUGUGCCCACGCAAUUAUUCCAUGGACCGAAAGCUUGACCAAUCGACGGACGCUGUUCGCCGCUCUACAUGCAGAAGUUGGAAGGAUGGGGUGCAGCAGUUCUCGACUGCUGAGCGCCUUAAAACUGACGUGUGAGGCUGAGCGAAAGAAAGAUGGAGAGAGCGAGGUUCGGUCCUUCUUGCCUGGAUUUCACACGGCCGUUCUCCAAGGUCCUCAGCCCUCUUUCCAGGGUGGCCAGACUGCUCCGUGCUUGCGGCGUCGAAGCUUUGCGGCAGGCCACGCCUAGGAUCUAAGGUUACCUGCCCUCUCCUCGCCUCCAGAUGCACGAUCGAUGACAUGGUGGAACAACUACAAAAAUUGCAAGAAAAAACGACAAAAUUCUUCUGGUCUCGACGUCUACUUUGCUACGAAAAGAGGAAUACUUUGUUUUUCUUCGUCUUCAUUUCUCGAAAUUCAACCUACCUAUUCGAUUCUGACCUGGUGUCUCGAUGUUCCUUCUUCAGAUGAAGUUCCGACUUGAGGGGGCGCCGAAAUUUCCUGGAAAUCAUUUUUGGACGCUGUUAUCACACAGUUGGUGUAAAAAGUGAACUCAGUGCCAGUGACUCGAUUGUAGGAUUCUCAACGGAAUUAAAUCUGUCCCGCAGACUAUCUCUUCCGAUCGCCUGUAUAACCUGAGCGUAUUGGACAUGAAAGAAAGAAGGAGAAAAUCCUGCGUAAGCGUUGCACGCGAUGCGUUCAGGAUUGGGCCUGUGCCUUCGGGGACAAAAGCGGGGCCUGAUUGGAGGGGGUAGAGCUGGAUCUCUGCUGGGGGCAUAACAAAGAAUCAUCGUGCAAACGGUUGUUGCACGGUGCCGUUGCACAGCUAGCUAGCUCUAUGCAAAUGCGAUGAAACGGGUUAAGCGAGGCACGAGUGAACAGAGUCUGCAGGAUCAGGAUCUGGCUCAGGAUGACGAGGAGCUCAGUUUGCGGAGAGAAGCUCCGUCGGUGUGACGCGGUUUUCUACCUUCAUUCACCUUCGGCGAGAGAACGAGAUAAAGAAGAAGUAGAAUAAGAAGAAGAAGCGCGGACCUGGAAGAAAGCCCCGACGCGUCAUGGCGCGAAUGGAAAAAUGGCGGGAAAAGUCGACGCUGCGUGGGCGCAGGAUCGAUGAAGGGCGCAAAAUGGCGCCUCCAUCUCACCGCACACACAACAUGCCGCGACCGAUUCAGUGAUGUGUAAUUCAAGCAUGGCUACCGACCACCUACAGAUUCACCUUCCGUCGCCGCAGUCUAGCCUGGAGGCCCUCUAAUGCAACGGCUUGCAUUUCUCUCCAAAUUCCCACGGUGCCGCAACCAUUCUCGUCCUCGUCGUCGUCCACCUCACGCCACGGAGCUCGUCAAACUGUCUGCAGCUAGAAUGGACCUCUUUCGGGAUGGAUAGUGUGAUAAAGUGAGAAAUUUGAUGAUACGUUUUACAGCGUGAAAAGGUCUCUCAAGCAAUGACCUCAGCUAUUUAAUUUACGUAUGAACUUGAUGUGUCAAAAGUUGAAAAUAAAUGAAACUUGCCUAGAGACAUGUGAUAUUUAAUGGAUAAAAUUUUACGUAUUAUCAUUGUAACAGUUUUAGUGAAGUAUGAAGUUUGAGGGAAGAUUUUUGCUUCCACGACUUAGCCAGUAAGGUUACAGAAUAAAGGCGCAAAACAAUUACAAUAGGUUCUUUAACGUAUACAACGUUUAGACAUUCCUCUCAUGAAUUUUAGUUUCAGUAUUUCUCCUUGAUCUUAUUUGUGUAACUAAAAAAUUUUGUACCUACAACUUAUUUUAUAUUUUUAUUUAAACGUCUCUUGAGUCAUGGCCUCAGCUAUUUAAUUUACGUAUGAACUUGAUGUGUUAAACGUAGAAAAUAAGUGGAACUUGGGUGGAGAGGAGUGAUAUUUAAUGGAUAAAAUUUUACGUAUUAUCAUUGUAAUAUUUUUAAUGAUGUAUGAAGUUUGAGGGAAGUUUUUGGCUUCCACGAUUUAGCAAGUAAGGUUACAGGAUAAAGGUGAAACACGAUUACUGUAAGUUCUUUAACGUAUACGAUGUCCAGGCAUUCCUCUCAUGAAUUUUACUUUUACUAUUUCUCUUUGAUGUUAUUUGUGUUAAUCAAGAAUCUUAUGACAC